RNAcentral lists this unclassified non-coding RNA (345 nucleotides) under soil metagenome. RNAcentral's name for it is "partial contains 5.8S ribosomal RNA, internal transcribed spacer 2, and large subunit ribosomal RNA". The stretch from base 1 to 120 matches the Rfam family "5.8S ribosomal RNA", at positions 35 to 154 of the family's 154-position model. The record is from RNAcentral.
GAUGAAGAACGCAGUGAAAUGCGAUACGUAAUGUGAAUUGCAGAAUUCAGUGAAUCAUCGAGUCUUUGAACGCACAUUGCGCCCCCUGGUAUUCCGGGGGGCAUGCCUGUCCGAGCGUCAUUGCUGCCCUCAAGCACGGCUUGUGUGUUGGGCCUCCGUCCUCCUCCCGGGGGACGGGCCCGAAAGGCAGCGGCGGCACCGCGUCCGGUCCUCGAGCGUAUGGGGCUUCGUCACCCGCUCUUGUAGGCCCGGCCGGCGCUUGCCGACACAUCAAUCUUUUUUCCAGGUUGACCUCGGAUCAGGUAGGGAUACCCGCUGAACUUAUGCAUAUCAAUAAGCGGAGGA